Long non-coding RNA from Rhopilema esculentum, 1053 nucleotides. RefSeq lists it as uncharacterized. Lineage: Eukaryota; Metazoa; Cnidaria; Scyphozoa; Rhizostomeae; Rhizostomatidae. The record is from RefSeq and is a predicted model, not a curated record.
UGCACAUUCUUCAAGGAAAAACUUGAUGCGGAGUAUCAAAGAAAUUUGCUGGCACCCAGCAGGCAAAAUUGAGAAAGUUUCGUAAACAAAAAUAAAACUGUGAAGGGUUUAGAGAAGUUGGACUGGUCUUGUGCUCAGUAAAGUCGCUGUUUCGAGUUACAAAACAGAUUCGGAAGUAAAGAGAAAGUAAUCAAUUUUUUGUUGCAAGCGAAAGACUAACGAAAGUAGUAAUGAAUUCAGCUAUGGUUGCAGCAGCGUCAGGCGGAAGGAGGCCAAAAAAGCCAUCCGAAAAGGCAAAGAUGAAGGACAGAAAAGACUCAAUGAAGCAGGGUGAUCGAAACAGUCUUACCAUACGCGAGACUCCUUCACCGAGGUUAUCCCCGAAAGUAAAGAAAAGUGAAAAAGCCAGCUUGCCAAAAGAAAUGAAUAAAAAGUAAUCAAAUCCCUUCUUAAUGGAUUUACUUGCAAAGGCAGAAAUUGAUCAAAGCGAAAGCUUUUUGGAGCCAAAGAUCCAUGUGGCAAUGGAACAUGGUUUGCUGACAGGUGGGACACAUUGAGAGCAAAGAGAGGCUUCCUCAAGAAAGCAAUUGUAGCAACAUUCUGAUUCAAUUUAAGUGUUUAUGCUUGGUUAGAAUACUUUGAGAACUGUUUGAUUGUUCAUUUAAAGCACAUUGUGCGCUUUUUUUAAAAGCUGCCCUCGAUAAUAAUAUGUUUAAAAUACAACAGCUUUAUACGCUUGAUAUGUAGUUAUUUAGCUGAAUUAGCAUUUCAUCAGCAUUUCAUCAAUCUACUAUUGUAUCUAUCUGUAGCGACACAGGUCAGACUUGCCAUGUAAUUAUCUAUUUAUCUAUUUCUAAGCACAUUUGAAAAGGGCUAUCAUGCAACAAGAGACGAAUUUGCAUUUGAAGCAGUAGCGUAACGAGGGGGGGGGGGCAAAGGGGUAGCUGCCUUUCUCUGAUAAAAACGUAAUUGUUCAAUAAAGUUAGAUAUAUCAGAGGGUUGAUAUUUUAGGCAAAAAUUAUUAUUGGGAUGAGAUCUUUAGUAAAACGAGAA